Molecule: ribosomal RNA, 322 nt
Filed under: uncultured eukaryote
Lineage: Eukaryota
Description: partial 18S ribosomal RNA
Rfam family: Eukaryotic small subunit ribosomal RNA
Source: RNAcentral
CCCUUAGAUGUUCUGGGCCGCACGCGUGCUACACUGAGUGGAUCAGCGGGUCAGGUUGCGCGAAAGCGUUUCCUAAUCUUUAAAUCCGCUCGUGAUGGGGAUUGACGGUUGCAAUUUUCUGUCUUGAACGAGGAAUUCCUAGUAAGCGCAAGUCAACAGCUUGCGUUGAUUACGUCCCUGCCCUUUGUACACACCGCCCGUCGCUACUACUGAUUGGAUGUUUAAGCGAGGUUCUCGAACUGCUAGCGACUUAGCUUCGGUGAGGUCGCAGUGUGGGAAGUGAACCUAGCUUUGGUGUCUAGAGGAAGUAAAAGUCGUAACA